Lethenteron reissneri (Far Eastern brook lamprey) is the source of this 458-nucleotide long non-coding RNA. RefSeq lists it as uncharacterized. NCBI's taxonomy places the organism in Eukaryota, Metazoa, Chordata, Hyperoartia, Petromyzontiformes, Petromyzontidae. The record is from RefSeq and is a predicted model, not a curated record.
GGAAUGGGCAGUGAUUCCAAUGUCACAAAGCAACAGUGCGUGCCUGAAGCGGCACUCCGUAGGCUUGAACAAGAAACCUCCGCCAAGUCUGAGACACGGAAGACUUCCUGUGGCGCAUCUCAACAAGCCCAGGACUUAGCCGAUAACGCGGUGCAAGAACGUUCAUCCGACCUGGUGCAGGCGGACACUGACGCUGCAGCAACCGCUGAACUAGAUCAGUUGAUUGCUGAACUUGAAAUGGGGCUGAUGGAUGAUGACUUGAGGUCUGAGAGCAGUUCCGCCAGUGUGGAGACUGUAAACAUAAUUAAAGCGGAGGCUGACGUUAAUUUUAUUGCAGAGCCGGUGAGAAAGCCAGAGGCAGCCCUUCCAGAUUCAGCAGCAAUAAAAGCCACCGCAGACAGCGGCUCCAAUAAUACCGAUCAAGUAGAUGUAAACAACGAGACGGAGUAUCCUGUUUU